RNAcentral lists this small RNA (590 nucleotides) under Arabidopsis thaliana (thale cress). Its description in RNAcentral is "putative long intergenic non-coding RNA". Lineage: Eukaryota; Viridiplantae; Streptophyta; Magnoliopsida; Brassicales; Brassicaceae. The record is from RNAcentral.
CCAUGUGUGCUUGUUGAUUUCCUUCCUUGGUUUCUUGUGUGCUUAUUUGUUUCCUUCCUUGGUUCCAUGUGUGCUUGUUGAUUUCUUUCCUUGGUUUCUUGUGUGCUUGUUUGUUUCCUUCCUUGGUUCCAUGUGUGCUUGUUUGUUUCCUUCCUUGGUUCCAUGUGUGCUUGUUGAUUUCUUUCCUAGGUUUCUUGUGUGCUUGUUUGUUUAUUUCCUUGGUUCCAUGCGUGCUUGAUUAUUUUUUUCCUAGGUUUCUUGUGUGCUUGUUUGUUUUUUUAAUUUCUUCCAUGGUUACUUGAUUUGUUGUUACUUCUUUGCUUUCUUCCUUUGUUCCAUGCAUGCUUGUGUGUUUCAUUCUCUGUUUCCUUGCGUGCCUGUUUAACUUCUUGCUUAGUUGUUUGGUUCUUGCUUGCUUCCUUGUUUUCUUCUUUCAAUCCUUACUAGCCUCUUGCUUCCUUGCUUGUUUUCUCACUUGCUCCUUUAUUACAUGCUUACUUAAUUUCCUUAUCUACUGAACUUGUUUGACCUUUUUAUCAUUUUCUUAAUCUUCUUACUUACUCACUUACUCAAAACUAUCUCUCUAGCUU